AUGCUCGCCCCCACCAACCGAUCGACGCCGCCAACCUCCACUACUGGCCGCCCUCCACUGGAUCGGCACCACCGGUCUCCUCUGGAUCGAUGCCGCCGACCUCCACUAUCCCUAACCUUCCUGCUCUGGUGCGCUCCGCAGCCCUGCUCCGCGGCCAUGAUGUCAGUUGUCACAGAUGUAGGGCCCAUUGGCAUGAACGCUGUUCCAGGCAAAAGCCAUCGCUGCCAUGUAUGGCUGGCCCGCUCGACCUCCAGGUCUUCUCCUAUCUCGCUGCUGCCUUUCAGUUCCAUCGGCGGAGCUCCAAGAUGCAGAGGCGCGCGCGAUGGUAGACGAGCAGCAGCAACAAGGAUGAGAAGGCGGAGGAGCGAAGCGUGUAUUUCAAUUCGUUCGGUUCAGCGACCACCAAAUCUGCAUUGA
RNAcentral lists this ribosomal RNA (417 nucleotides) under Triticum aestivum (bread wheat). RNAcentral's name for it is "partial small subunit ribosomal RNA". The record is from RNAcentral. Lineage: Eukaryota; Viridiplantae; Streptophyta; Magnoliopsida; Poales; Poaceae.